AGAGAGAGACAUGCGCGCAUAUCAAUAAGCGGAGGAAAAGAAACUAACAAGGAUUCCCUUAGUAACGGCGAGUGAAGCGGGAAGAGCUCAAAUUUGAAAUCUUAAAGGGUUUCCCUUUACGAAUUGUAGUUUAAAGAAGUGUUUUCUGUUGAGGUUUUGGUAAAAGUUCUUUGGAAUAGGACAUCAUAGAGGGUGAGAAUCCCGUAUUUGACCUUUACUUUCAACUUUGUGAUACACUUUCAAAGAGUCGGAUUGUUUGGGAAUGCAGUCCAAAAUGGGUGGUAAAUUUCAUCUAAAGCUAAAUAUUGGCGAGAGACCGAUAGCGAACAAGUACCGUGAGGGAAAGAUGAAAAGAACUUUGAAAAGAGAGUUAAACAGUACGUGAAAUUGUCAAAAGGGAAGCGUUUGACACCAGUGUUGUUUUUCUGAAAAUCAAUUAAAGAACUGUUUAUGCUAAGUUGUUUAGACUUUAUCAGCUAACUGUUUAGUUUUGAGCUUUUCUUUAAUGCACUUUUCAGUUAACAAGUCAACAUCAAUUUCUUUUGCUGUAGAAAAGCUUGAGGAAGGUGGCUUGAGAUUCGUCUUAAGUGUUUAUAGCCUCUUGCCUAUGCAGUCGGAGAGAUUGAGGUCUGCAGCGUAGAUCCUUCGGGGCUAAAUGCAUUUGUGCUAAGUUAUAGCAUUUUAUAGACAACUUGUUGACUAUGAUUUGUCUUGUAGCUUACUCGCUUAUGUUAUUUUACCUACGCUUAGGAUGUUGAGCGCAUGUCUCUCUCU
RNAcentral lists this ribosomal RNA (774 nucleotides) under uncultured Neocallimastigales. RNAcentral describes it as "partial large subunit ribosomal RNA". It matches the Rfam family "Eukaryotic large subunit ribosomal RNA", at positions 23 to 616 of the family's 3401-position model. The record is from RNAcentral. Lineage: Eukaryota; Fungi; Neocallimastigomycota; Neocallimastigomycetes; Neocallimastigales.